AUGAGGAUGGCCGCUGUCGCCGCCGCAGAAAACAAACCAAACGAUGCAGCAAAACCAAUUACUGGUUCCAGCUAUGGAUUUGCUGGUUGUAGCAAAACGCAACAGAGGUUGCAACUUUGCUCUAUGGGCUGUAGGGAAAAAGUGCCGGCGUGGUCUUCUUUUCCAGCACCGGCGACCACGGAUAGUAUUAAAAACGCGCGGCCGGUUGCAGCUCCGGCGCUCGCCGAGCCCUGUACAGAGAGGUGGAGAUGCAUACAAGCGCGUUUGUCUAAGACAAACAGCGACGAGUGGCGCGGCCGCUAA
RNAcentral lists this ribosomal RNA (303 nucleotides) under Triticum aestivum (bread wheat). RNAcentral's name for it is "partial small subunit ribosomal RNA". Lineage: Eukaryota; Viridiplantae; Streptophyta; Magnoliopsida; Poales; Poaceae. The record is from RNAcentral.